This 304-nucleotide ribosomal RNA is filed under the name Asterionellopsis glacialis. RNAcentral describes it as "partial Bacterial small subunit ribosomal RNA". It matches the Rfam family "Bacterial small subunit ribosomal RNA", at positions 88 to 392 of the family's 1533-position model. Lineage: Eukaryota; Bacillariophyta; Plagiogrammaphyceae; Rhaphoneidales; Asterionellopsidaceae. The record is from RNAcentral.
UGGAUCAGUGGCGAACGGGUGAGUAACACGUGGGCAACCUGCCCUCAGCUCUGGGAUAACUCCAAGAAAUUGGGGCUAAUACUGGAUACGACCGCUGACCGCAUGGUCUGGUGGUGGAAAGAUUUAUCGGCUGGGGAUGGGCCCGCGGCCUAUCAGCUUGUUGGUGGGGUAGUGGCCUACCAAGGCGACGACGGGUAGCCGGCCUGAGAGGGCGACCGGCCACACUGGGACUGAGACACGGCCCAGACUCCUACGGGAGGCAGCAGUGGGGAAUUUUCCGCAAUGGGCGAAAGCCUGACGGAGC